RNAcentral lists this long non-coding RNA (1769 nucleotides) under Homo sapiens (human). RNAcentral's name for it is "HSALNT0270801". Lineage: Eukaryota; Metazoa; Chordata; Mammalia; Primates; Hominidae. The record is from RNAcentral.
CUUUGAUUUGUCUCCAUUACUCUGUCGGCACUUUUUUACUUUCUGGCAGAAGAUGUUCUAAGCUCAGCUUGUAUUUUCUCUGCGCCAGCUCUGGAAUGAGUCAUUUUUUUUAGAAGCAGAGGUGGAGCCACUGAGGAAGCACAGAAUGUCACUGUUGCUGAGUCCCCAUCGCCUCUGUGUUGUGGAGCAGUUAGAGACACACAGCAGUGUCUGUGAGUAGCUCUGCGUGAAGGACCAUUUUCUAGAUGAGAGGCACAUCUCAACACAGCUCACUGAUCAGAUUCAGGUGAGUGGGACCUGCUCUUUUCUCUUCCUUCUGGCUUGGGAAAAGUCACUAUCAGGUGGAUGGUUUUGGUCUCUGGGCAGCUACUGAGGGUAAUCCCUGAACACUCACCAGCUGCCUGUUAUGUGCUGACAGUCAUCUCAUUCAUCCUCGCAGCAAUUCCAUUCUGCAUCUUUUCUGAUCACCUCCGUGACCACACAGGACAACCCCAUCAGGGCCCUGUCACCAGGCCCAGUCUAGCUCCAUGAUAACCAAGACACAGGCCCAGAGACAAUCGUCCUACAUUGUGCCUGCAUCUGACACCCCUUGGUAGGUAGUGACCAGCACAACAUGGAAGAAGCCAGGGCAGCAUGCAGCCAGCUGCUCUGCAGCCCCAAAUGGCUCCUGGGCCUUGGGAAGUCACUCAUAAAGGGGAAGCUGGUCACUUUGAGGUCCCUGAAGGGAAGGGUGAACGUGCAUCCCAACAGCCCUGGCAGCCAGCAGCAUGCCAUACAUAUUCUCACCCAACGUGUGUGACAGAGGUCCCCUCCUGGGGCACAAGUCCCAUACCUAAAGCAUCCUGUCCCAGUCGGACCUCAUCCUGAGCCCUGGGAGGGGAGGGGGACCAUGGGCCCCCCUGCAGCAGCCAGGAUUACCACCCAGGGGACUCGGCCUUCUGUGGCCCUGGCCAGACUUAGAAUUUGGCCCAAGACAAACUUACUCGGAGCAGCUUCUCAGUACCUGGGGCCUGUGCAUACCAGGCAAGGCCAAGCUGGCUCAAAGAGCAACCAGCCACCUCUGCAAGGGUAUGCCAGUAGCAGGUGGAGCAGUCACCAACCUCACGCACUCAAGGAAACAGGGAUGGCCAGUUUCCCACAGUCUGAGUGACCACCACCUGACAGCUGAUGGAGUGGAGGCCUGAGGAAAAGCAGAUGGCACUGGGGCUCCACCUCCAGGGCAGAAUAACUGAUUUACCCUGACUGGCAGGGAGUGACGUUGGUGGCUGGUCCACUGGCUCCUGGCACACCCUUGCAGAGGUGGGUGGUUGCUCUUUGAGCCAGCUUGGCUUUGCCUGGCAUGCACAGGUCUCAGUGCAACAAAUGUGCUGCAAAUGGAGCCACAUAGAGGAAAUGAGCAGCAGGCUCAGAACUGGGGUGUGUGCCGCCUUUGGGGCUCCAGUCCAAGCAUCGGGGCUUCUACAGCACUGUGGGCUUCUCGGGUGCCAAGAGGCAGACCACAGGCCAUCUUGAGGAGGACUCUGGUAAGAGCUUCCUUGUGUACGUGGAUGAUGUCCAGAAUGUUGACCUGGUGUCCCUGAGACAGCACUAACAGGUCCAUGACUGGGUCCAGAUCCUGCCUGGGCUGAUGGGCAAAGAGCUCACUGACAGUGUGGAAGGCAUCUAUGGUGAAGUGGAUCUAUGUUCAAGUGCAGAAAGGGCCCAAUCUUGCAGAUGAACCACACAGCCAGCUUCUGGAUGCAGGUGCAGUGCCACAUUUUUUGUCACUU